RNAcentral lists this ribosomal RNA (482 nucleotides) under uncultured bacterium. RNAcentral's name for it is "partial 16S ribosomal RNA". It matches the Rfam family "Bacterial small subunit ribosomal RNA", at positions 30 to 507 of the family's 1533-position model. The record is from RNAcentral.
AUUGAACGCUGGCGGCAUGCCUUACACAUGCAAGUCGAACGGUAACAGGUCUUCGGAUGCUGACGAGUGGCGAACGGGUGAGUAAUACAUCGGAACGUGCCCGAUCGUGGGGGAUAACGAGGCGAAAGCUUUGCUAAUACCGCAUACGAUCUACGGAUGAAAGCGGGGGAUCUUCGGACCUCGCGCGGACGGAGCGGCCGAUGGCAGAUUAGGUAGUUGGUGGGAUAAAAGCUUACCAAGCCGACGAUCUGUAGCUGGUCUGAGAGGAUGAUCAGCCACACUGGGACUGAGACGCGGCCCAGACUCCUACGGGAGGCAGCAGUGGGGAAUUUUGGACAAUGGGCGAAAGCCUGAUCCAGCCAUGCCGCGUGCAGGAUGAAGGCCUUUGGGUUGUAAACUGCUUUUGUACGGAACGAAAAGCCUCUUUCUAAUAAAGAGGGGUCAUGACGGUACCGUAAGAAUAAGCACCGGCCAACUACGUG